CAAUCCAGGUCGGUUUCUAUCUAUGUCGCUUUCUUCUUCAGUACGAAAGGACAAAGAAGAAGGGGCCCCUGUUAUAAGCACACCCCAUAAUUCUAGCUGAACAAAACUAAAGUUAAGCCAGCCCACACCAACCAGAGACAAUGGUUUU
RNAcentral lists this ribosomal RNA (148 nucleotides) under Eurylepis taeniolata (Alpine Punjab skink). RNAcentral describes it as "partial 16S ribosomal RNA". Lineage: Eukaryota; Metazoa; Chordata; Lepidosauria; Squamata; Scincidae. The record is from RNAcentral.